Gadus morhua (Atlantic cod) is the source of this 2216-nucleotide long non-coding RNA. The record is from Ensembl. NCBI's taxonomy places the organism in Eukaryota, Metazoa, Chordata, Actinopteri, Gadiformes, Gadidae.
UGCACACAUCAUCACAGUGAAAACAGAUCUGCAUUCUCAGUUACAAAGGAAACCGGUAUCUGUCAGUGUCACAAUAAAAAGUCUCAACAAAAGUUCCAUAGUUAAAUGAAUAACAGCUACUUUCAACAAACCUAGUACCCUGGACAUUACCUUAUGGCCUCCAUCUCCAGUAAAUAACUACUAAAAACACAAACAGUCCAAACACAUCAGAGACCAACGGGGGAGCAGCUGAGAAAUAAACCCAUUCUGUCACCAGAUCUCCCGGUUACCCACAAUGCACCUGGAGUUGUCCCUGCCGUAAUGGUGAUCUAAUUAAGGUUAUACUUAGUGGAGUACUACACUAUUUAGUCUCUCUCUCCACGCGUCCAUGCCUGCUGCAGUUGACAGACAGCUCCAGGCUGAGUGAUCCAACCUUAUUUACCCAGGUUGGUCUCUGUGACGUUAACCAUCUCUACCGGAGAGACCUGGCUGGUGCUUGUUAAACAAAAGUCUGUUUUCAAAACCUCGCGUGAACGUGCAUAUAAGAGGAGAACACACUGUCAUUUCCUCAAGAUUACCUCUCCACUUUAUACGCAUCUCUCAGUGGAAUCCAGACACAAGCAAAGGGCCCCGAGGUAAAAUCAAAUGGGUUUAUAACUCCACACCCUUCCCCCCAGGUCCACCACAAAUAAAUAUCUUCUCUUUAUAUCUGGGAGGUUAAAGUUCAGCACAGCAGCGGAGUACAGGAGCCCUCAAGGUCCAAACACCCGCAGCUCGUUAGGGCUUGUGGUUAAUUGAUCCGGGCUCACUCAGCAAGCGGCUCCUGGCCAGCUAUCAUAGGGUUGUUAAAUUAAAAGCUAAUUAGAGGAGGAAGUGACAUCAUGAGACAGGAUUACGCUGCCUGAGUGGGCUCUCAACGAUCACCAGGAGUUCUCACCGGGGGCCCCAAAAACUAGGGGACCUCCACUCUGUUGAUAAGGCCCUUCAAUAUGCUGUAGGUAAGGUUGGUGAGGUGUAAAGAGAGAGCACAACACAGCAUAAAGAGCAUGAUUUUGAAAAAAUAAACAUAAAAAACGUCCCGCCCUCUCUGCACCCUCCCUCCCUAUGUUUCUCAAGCAUUGAGAAUGCUUACAAUCACCACCUGUCUUUGACCGGGUGAAUACAUUACCCAAAUUAGGGAGAGAUGCCCUGAUUGGUCAGAAAUUAACCAGGUGUGGUCUAAAAAUUUAAAUAUUCUAAUACUAUUCUCAAAUUAUCACUCUUAAAUCUUCCCUACAGUACCUUCAAUCGAUGUAUUCUGUCUGAACAAAUGUACAUUAAAUUAAAUGUAUAAAACAGAGUAUGUAUAUAUGGGGCAUUAGCUGGGAGGCUAUUGCUAACGGUGUUGGGGUGUUUGCCACCAUGAGGGCAGGAUAGCAACAAAAGCUUUUUAAUCAUUCUUUACAGCAGAAUACAACUAUUUAAAUAAAUCUGAAACUGUAGAAACAAGGUUCAAGCUACGGUUCACUAGGCUAACCCCCUAGCUUCCAAAAGGUCUUCUGAAAAAAGACACCUGAAAAAAGUAGCUCUAUCAUCGUGCUAUCACCGUAUUGGUUAGUUAGAAACGAGAGCUACAGCCAAGGGUUCUGUUGCCCUCUGCCAGCCACGAGAAGCCGGCUCCCCCAUCCUGAAGCUCAGAAACACCUUGCUAUGGCUCUUUGAAAACACCAGUCAGGGCACUGGUCUCUGUUAGCAUCUACUUUACAAGCUAGGCAGCUAGCGGCUAGGGCCGAGCGACGGAGGGAAGGGAGGGGAGGAGGAGGAGAGGAGGUGGAGGAGAGGAGGUGGAGGACAAGAGGAGGAGGAGGAGAGGAGGUGGAGGGGUGGAGGGGGAGAGGAGGAGGAGGAGAGGAGGUGGAGGAGAGGAAAUGAGAGAGGAGUGGAGGUAACAGUGGAGGACGACGGAAGGUGAAAGAGAGGAGAGGAGGUUGAGAUGAGGGGUGGUGGACAGGAGGGUUCGAUGACAGAAGUACAUAGAGGCGGGGAGAAGAGAGGAGUGAGGGAGAGGUCAAUAAGGUGGAGUGGAUGGACGGGGAUGAAGAAGACAUGAUGGCGUCUGAACGGGGGGACCCUGGUUUUUACACGUUCGUCCGACACUUUGGGAAGAUGGGUCCUCCUUCAAGCCUUCUCUUUCUUACUGUGAACAAAGAUAGAAAGGGGGAGAGAGAGAGAGAGAGAGAGAGAGAGAGAGAGAGAGA